Molecule: ribosomal RNA, 903 nt
Filed under: Aspergillus hiratsukae
Lineage: Eukaryota; Fungi; Ascomycota; Eurotiomycetes; Eurotiales; Aspergillaceae
Description: LSU rRNA
Rfam family: Eukaryotic large subunit ribosomal RNA
Source: RNAcentral
CAAUAAGCGGAGGAAAAGAAACCAACAGGGAUUGCCUCAGUAACGGCGAAGUGAAGCGGCAAGAAGCUCAAAUUUGAAAGCUGGCCCCCUCGGGGUCCGCGUUGUAAUUUGCAGAAGGAUGCUUCGGGUGCAGCCCCCGUCUAAGUGCCCUGGAACGGGCCGUCAUAGAGGGUGAGAAUCCCGUCUGGGACGGGGUGUCUGCGUCCGUGUGAAGCUCCUUCGACGAGUCGAGUUGUUUGGGAAUGCAGCUCUAAAUGGGUGGUAAAUUUCAUCUAAAGCUAAAUACUGGCCGGAGACCGAUAGCGCACAAGUAGAGUGAUCGAAAGAUGAAAAGCACUUUGAAAAGAGAGUUAAACAGCACGUGAAAUUGUUGAAAGGGAAGCGUUUGCGACCAGACUCGCCCGCGGGGUUCAGCCGGCAUUCGUGCCGGUGUACUUCCCCGUGGGCGGGCCAGCGUCGGUUUGGGCGGCCGGUCAAAGGCCCUCGGAAUGUAUCACCCUUCGGGGUGUCUUAUAGCCGAGGGUGCAAUGCGGCCUGCCCGGACCGAGGAACGCGCUUCGGCUCGGACGCUGGCGUAAUGGUCGUAAAUGACCCGUCUUGAAACACGGACCAAGGAGUCUAACAUCUACGCGAGUGUUCGGGUGUCAAACCCGUACGCGCAGUGAAAGCGAACGGAGGUGGGAGCCCCCUCGUGGGGCGCACCAUCGACCGAUCCUGAUGUCUUCGGAUGGAUUUGAGUACGAGCGUAGCUGUGGGGACCCGAAAGAUGGUGAACUAUGCCUGAAUAGGGCGAAGCCAGAGGAAACUCUGGUGGAGGCUCGCAGCGGUUCUGACGUGCAAAUCGAUCGUCAAAUUUGGGUAUAGGGGCGAAAGACUAAUCGAACCAUCUAGUAGCUGGUCUGC